CCUACGGGAGGCAGCAGUGGGGAAUUUUGGACAAUGGGGGCAACCCUGAUCCAGCCAUUCCGCGUGAGUGAAGAAGGCCUUCGGGUUGUAAAGCUCUUUCGGCAGGAACGAAACGGUGAGCUCUAACAUAGCUCGCUAAUGACGGUACCUGAAGAAGAAGCACCGGCUAACUACGUGCCAGCAGCCGCGGUAA
This 193-nucleotide ribosomal RNA is filed under the name uncultured bacterium. RNAcentral's name for it is "partial 16S ribosomal RNA". It matches the Rfam family "Bacterial small subunit ribosomal RNA", at positions 338 to 523 of the family's 1533-position model. The record is from RNAcentral.